RNAcentral lists this transfer RNA (70 nucleotides) under Spirometra theileri. RNAcentral's name for it is "tRNA-Glu". The record is from RNAcentral. Lineage: Eukaryota; Metazoa; Platyhelminthes; Cestoda; Diphyllobothriidea; Diphyllobothriidae.
UCUAUCUUGUUGUAUUGUAGUAGCAUAGUAGCUUUUCGUGCUGCGGGAGGUAAGUUUUUACUAGAUAGGG